UACGGGGGGGGCAAGCGUUGUUCGGAAUUACUGGGCGUAAAGGGCUCAUAGGCGGCCAACUAAGUCAGACGUGAAAUCCCUCGGCUUAACCGGGGAACUGCGUCUGAUACUGGAUGGCUUGAAUCCGGGAGAGGGAUGCAGAAUUCCAGGUGUAGCGGUGAAAUGCGUAGAUAUCUGGAGGAAUACCGGUGGCGAAGGCGGCAUCCUGGACCGGCAUUGACGCUGAGGAGCGAAAGCCAGGGGAGCAAACGGG
This 253-nucleotide ribosomal RNA is filed under the name uncultured bacterium. RNAcentral's name for it is "partial 16S ribosomal RNA". It matches the Rfam family "Bacterial small subunit ribosomal RNA", at positions 524 to 776 of the family's 1533-position model. The record is from RNAcentral.